This 350-nucleotide ribosomal RNA is filed under the name uncultured bacterium. Its description in RNAcentral is "bacterial SSU rRNA". It matches the Rfam family "Bacterial small subunit ribosomal RNA", at positions 132 to 507 of the family's 1533-position model. The record is from RNAcentral.
UUUGGUACGGAAUAGCCGUACGGGAAACUGAGAGUAAUACCGUAUGUCGCCCGUUACGGGGGAAAGUAUUUAUCGACCAAAGGAUUAGCCCGCGUUGGAUUAGGUAGUUGGUGGGUAAUGGCCUACCAAGCCGACGAUCCAUAGCUGGUUUGAGAGGAUGAUCAGCCACACUGGGACUGAGACACCGGCCCAGACUCCGUACGGGAGGCAGCAGGUGGGGAAUCUUAGACAAUGGGGGAAACCCUGAUCUAGCCAUGCCGCGUGAGUGAUGAAGGCCUUAGGGUUGUAAAGCUCUUUCAGAUGGGAAGAUAAUGACGGUACCAUCAGAAGAAGCCCCGGCUAACUCCGUG